UCCAUUUGAUUGGCUCCUCUCCCCCAUGAGUAGUGGGGCUGUGGCUGUGGCAGCAGGUUCUGAGUGGGGGGCUCUUGCUCUUUCAGGGCCCGGUGACCUUCGAGGAGGUGGCUGUGUAUUUCACCAGGGCAGAGUGGGCUCUGCUGGACCCCGCUCAGAGAGCCCUCUACAGAGACGUCAUGCAGGAGAACUAUGAGAACGUGACCUCGCUGGAGUUUCCAGUUUUCACACCUGCUGUGAUCUCUCCCCUGGAACAAGACAAAGAGCCGAGGGUCCCAGAUCUCCACGAUUCAGAGGAAUGAGAGAUCCUGAGAGGUGCCUGCAUAGGAGAGAAGGAAUCACCCCCUACAGCAGAGGAGGAGAAGCCUCGUACCCCUAAGGCUGGGAAGUCUGCUGCCACCACUGUGAAUAGGAAACGUACGGUAGUGGUGGUCGGAGACUCUCUGCUGAGGGGGACGGAGGCGCCCAUCUGUCACCCAGACAUUUCAUCUUGAGAGGUAUGCUGCCUGCCGGGGGCCCGUAUCCGAGACGUUACAGAGGCAUUAUCGAGGAUUAUCCAGCCCUCUGACUACUACCCCAUGCUACUCAUCCAUGUGGGCACAAAUGAUACUGCGAGGUGUGACACUGAGCGGAUCAAGAGUGACUACAGAGCUCUGGGAGUACGGGUGAAGGAGUUUGGAGUGCAGGUGGUAUUCUCUUAGAUUCUUCCUGUCACAGAUAGGGGCCCGGGCAGAGACAGGUGCAUCGUGGAGGUGAAUGCCUGGCUGCGAAGACAGUGUCGCCAGGAAGGCUUUGGCUUCCUCGACCAUGGGAUGCUAUUACAGGAAGGACUGCUAGGCAGA
This is a non-coding RNA of Chrysemys picta bellii (western painted turtle), 842 nucleotides long. The record is from RefSeq and is a predicted model, not a curated record. NCBI's taxonomy places the organism in Eukaryota, Metazoa, Chordata, Testudines, Emydidae.